GAGGUUGUGGCUCAGCGGUAGAGCGUUAACCUCACAUGUGUGAGACCCUGGGUUUGAUCCUCAGCACCACA
RNAcentral lists this transfer RNA (71 nucleotides) under Marmota monax (woodchuck). RNAcentral's name for it is "tRNA.Val". Lineage: Eukaryota; Metazoa; Chordata; Mammalia; Rodentia; Sciuridae. The record is from RNAcentral.